RNAcentral lists this long non-coding RNA (464 nucleotides) under Spirodela polyrhiza (greater duckweed). Its description in RNAcentral is "long non-coding RNA (SPOL_LNC002130)". The record is from RNAcentral. Lineage: Eukaryota; Viridiplantae; Streptophyta; Magnoliopsida; Alismatales; Araceae.
CUCCGGGGACCUCUCCGUUGAGGUAGGCGGGCACCUCCGACCUGUCCAGCAGGCCUUCCGGCAGGAAGAUCCUCCGGUCGGGGCCGUACCACUUGGCGAGCUCGUCGUUGGCGGGGGCGGCCGGCGAGGGCUUGGCCUUCGCCGGGGCGGCCUUCUUCUUGGAGAAGAGGGCGACGACCUUGGUGGCGCCGCCGCCGGAAGGGGCGGGGGCCGAGCGCGAGGGGCCGGCGAAGUUGAGGGGGCUACCCAGCAUCUCCGACACGCCGAGGGAGGCCGGAGCCGCCGCCGCGAGAGAAGCCAUGAGUCCCUCCGCCUCUCGCCGGGAACACCCGCCGCCGCGCCGGAGAACAGAAAGGAAGAGGGAACAGGAUUUGCAGAAGCGAGGUGGCGGUGGGAGGAGGCAGCGGCGGCGAGAAGGGGCCUAAAUGCAGGAUCCCGUGGAUGUGGUGGCGGCAUGGGAAGGC